CUUCAACCUACAGUCCCCACAGACAACGACGUGAUAGUUAAAAUCAAAGACUCCUAUUUGAUGGACAAACUCACAGCACAAAUCAGAAAUACGGAAAAAACAUUCCAAAAAAUCUGGCUUCCUUGGGAAGUGUACGCUAACGACAAUGUUAUAUAGCCUGGAAAAGGUUCGCAGUGGUUUGGCGGACCUCCUCCCGCCGUGCGCCCCGAGAUAUACCAACUAUUUCCUUUCCCCCUCCUGCUCCAUCC
Pelobates cultripes (western spadefoot toad) is the source of this 248-nucleotide non-coding RNA. The record is from the annotation of a GenBank genome assembly. NCBI's taxonomy places the organism in Eukaryota, Metazoa, Chordata, Amphibia, Anura, Pelobatidae.